UCAAAUGUGAUGAAGAGAAGAGUAAAUAAAUGAAUUCUUUCACAGAGAGCUCCGUUAGCUGAAAAGGAGUAAGAGUUCCUUAUUGAAAAAAGCCUCAGAGCAGCACAUCGGAGCCCAAGAUAAAGGGGGAUGGUGUGUCAGGAGCUCCUGUUACAGAGCUAGAGUAUAAGCAUUACAUGGUAAUGCCGUACUUGAAGAGGCUAAUAUGGCGACAUAUUAGCGAAUCUGGGGUGGUACCACGAGUAUACAAAUCUCGUCCCUAAG
This 264-nucleotide non-coding RNA is filed under the name Paenibacillus sp. Its description in RNAcentral is "T-box sequence". It matches the Rfam family "T-box leader". Rfam says of the family: Uncharged tRNA acts as the effector for transcription antitermination of genes in the T-box leader family. The record is from RNAcentral. Lineage: Bacteria; Bacillati; Bacillota; Bacilli; Caryophanales; Paenibacillaceae.